This is a long non-coding RNA of Choloepus didactylus (southern two-toed sloth), 463 nucleotides long. RefSeq lists it as uncharacterized. The transcript has 3 exons. The record is from RefSeq and is a predicted model, not a curated record. Lineage: Eukaryota; Metazoa; Chordata; Mammalia; Pilosa; Megalonychidae.
UUCAAACAGUCUCAGAAGAGUAUAGAUGAAGUCAUAACUUCUGCAGAUUCAAUCAAGUGUGACAGGAAUGUUACUUGCAAACUAUUUGUCCUUUGUUCACUCACUAUUUACUGAGCCAGGCACUGUGUUCUCUGCUGGGAAUGUGGAGAGACAUGGGAAUCAGCCCUUGCCCUCAAGAUAUUUGGGGAAAAGCAUAGAAACAGACAACGCUAAAGCAACAAGGUACAAUCAGCAGCUUGGGAGUAGGAGUGGAAAUGCCAAGUGGUUCGUCUGACCCAGGCUCAGGAUGAUGGGAGAUUGGUGGACUAAGCAGGAAAACUGAGAAGCUCCACCUGGAAGUUCCACCUGAGGAUGUUCUGCGUCUUGUGUGCCAGGCUCCUGGACAGAGGUCGUGCAGACCCUGCCAGCUUGAUAUAGAAGUCGGGGCUGAUGAGGUGAAGACCUGAAGAAGGCUGUGGAACCU